AUUGAACGCUGGCGGCAGGCCUAACACAUGCAAGUCGAGCGGAUGAAGGGAGCUUGCUCCUGGAUUCAGCGGCGGACGGGUGAGUAAUGCCUAGGAAUCUACCUGGUAGUGGGGGAUAACGUCCGGAAACGGGCGCUAAUACCGCAUACGUCCUGAGGGAGAAAGUGGGGGAUCUUCGGACCUCACGCUAUCAGAUGAGCCUAGGUCGGAUUAGCUAGUUGGUGGGGUAAAGGCCUACCAAGGCGACGAUCCGUAACUGGUCUGAGAGGAUGAUCAGUCACACUGGAACUGAGACACGGUCCAGACUCCUACGGGAGGCAGCAGUGGGGAAUAUUGGACGAUGGGCGAAAGCCUGAUCCAGCCAUGCCGCGUGUGUGAAGAAGGUCUUCGGAUUGUAAAGCACUUUAAGUUGGGGGGAAGGGCAGUAAGUUAAUACCUUGCUGUUUUGACGUUACCAACAGAAUAAGCACCGGCUAACUUCGUG
This 484-nucleotide ribosomal RNA is filed under the name uncultured bacterium. RNAcentral's name for it is "partial 16S ribosomal RNA". It matches the Rfam family "Bacterial small subunit ribosomal RNA", at positions 30 to 507 of the family's 1533-position model. The record is from RNAcentral.